GAGGGGCGCCGGGGGACGCCUCGCAGGGAGGGGUACGACUGCGGGGUGGGCAUGGUGUGGGAGGGACUUAGAGGGGGACGUGAAGGGACAACAUAAGAAGGGAGUGCGGGGGUACGGAGAAAGGGGGGUGGGCUGGGAGUGCUCCACCACGCUGGCCACGAAGGGGAGGGGAGGCCACGAAGGGGAGGCCGUUGGGAGGAACGGCCACACACAGGGAGGGGGAUCCUGGGGAUGGACAGUCCUCGAGGAAGGGGGGCCGUGUCUUCGGCAGGCUCAGGAGGGGAAGGGUGAGAAGACGCAGGGAAAGGGAGUGCUGCGAGAACCCGAGGGUGGAGGCGGAUGGGCGUGUGUGGAGCGCGGAGGGCAGGGAUUUAACGCUGCUGAUAGGGAUGACCAAAAGACCACGGUGGGGGACCCGCACAGACGGGACGGGGCUCCCAAGGCAGGACGAAAACUGCCCAGGGGAAAGUGGGACGUACGAGGGCAGGAGAAGGGUGGCGGGGGCGGCCUCGGGCUCGGCAGGAAGGCGCCACCACCGCCCUCUGCCCGUCCCCAGCGUGCCCCGCCCCGUCCGGGGGCCCUAAGGGCAGCGGCCUGGGCCGUGGCGGAGCCGAGCCAGGGCGGUACCAUUCGGAACAGAGAGGGGGGCUUGGGGGGGGAAAGGGAGGAGCCAGGGGUCAGAACCCUGUUGGGGGCGGGGGGGGGCGCCACACCCUGGGAAAAAGGCUUGGGCACAUCCAGAAUGGACCAAUCAGCGAACAAGGCCAGGGUGGCGUCAAGGGGCAGCUUUGGCCAAUGGGAAGGGAGAACACUUCGGAGGUUCGGAGGAAGAAAAGAAAAAAAAAGCCCCACGAAACAACAAUCGAAUCCGUUUGGGGGCUUGAAAGGCUGGGAGUGGGCGUCGUUUAUAGCACGUUCCAGCGCCUGCCGUCCCCUUUCAACGAUGGGGUCGCUUGCAUCACUCCCGGGCCGCGGGCCGUACACGGAGCUGAGGAGGGUCCCGGGAAAGUAGAUGAGGAUUGGCCGUUUACUGGGGGGCACUUGAUUGGGCGCUUCAAUUUGGGGGGUGGCUGGGACAGAGGUGGUAGCUUUGUGUGCAAAAGAGUGAACGUAGGGUUAUGGUCUCAUAAACGGAGGCAGGAGUGGGCACAGGUCCCUCAUGCCCCCACUGGCUACUUAAGCGUCAACCAGCAAGUGGAUCACAGAUAAUCUCAAACCAAUGGAUAACUUAAAAAUAUCCCCCUGGGCUCUAAACCCGAUCGACGUAUUCAUUUCCCUUCCCAGCCCCAGGCUGGCCCUUGAGGGGAUAAGCAAUGGAAGUGACGGCCCACAGCUACCCCUGGACAUUUCAUAGAAAUUUAUGGUGUGGCUUUUGGCUUCUAAGUUAGCUUAGGUUCCUACUGCCUACUCAGUCAUUAAUGUGAAACACCGGAUACUCUGCAUUCUUUCACACUAUAAAAUAAAGGCACUGGGAUUAGUUACCUUUGAGGUCUAAACAUUUUGCAACUGAUCUGGAGAGUUGUGUGCUUGGACGACAGGGUCGUGCCGGUUUGGGGGAGGAUUGUAAAACCGGUGGAGUUGCAGAACUAUUAGCCCAGGGAUUCCAAAUGUCUGUAAAGUUCCUCAAACUGUAUGUAAAAUGGUAUACAUGUGUGUGCAUUUUUCUGAGGUGAGUUCAUAACUCCCAUCAAAUUCUCGGAGGGGUCUGUAGACAUGCAAAAAUUCACCCCCAUCUUGCUCUAAAAGGGCAGGGGAGACCCACAUCCAAGCUGGGAGGUGUAGCACAGUAGUGGUUAUGUCCUUUUGGAAUCAGAGAAAGUUUCUCCAAUUCCUUGUUAGCAAUCUUGUUUGCAGGGACUCUUGCCAUGUAUGUAUUUGUCAACUAAAGACAGGCAGCCUCCUCAGACUUGAGAAGCCCAUGUGAAUUGCCAUAUAGCAGUUGCAGUGAGAGGUUGGUCUUAGGAAGUAAAGGAAUAGAGCUUUACUUCUGGAAGCUCAUCUACCUCAUCUGUAGGGUAAGGUAAAAACUCACCAUCUUAAGAAUGGCAAAAGUGCAAACUACUCUAGACGCAACCCCUGCAAGCCUGGAGGCUCUUUCAUGGAAAGAAACAAUAGUAGUAACUAAAGUUGAAGCCAGCUUCAGCACCACCCUAGGGCCAGUGCAGGACACAAUCCCAUCGGACGGUUUGUGCAUGCUGUAUUUAGGUUCAGAGGUUAAGAGUAUACAGUAUUUACUACCCCUGAGUCUUCCAAUUGGUUAUUUAUAGUGGAUUGUGUCUGAUAAUAUAUUUAAGAUCAUAGGCUAUGGUAACUUCUCUCCACUUUGUUUUAGGACUAACUAUAUAAUCCUUGGUGAGAAAAUGAGGCUUCCCUAACAAGUGUGGCUGGAAAAAUGCAAUGGGGAGCACCCAAAGGUGUCUUGUCUGACGUGUGACAACACAGAAUACACUCCAGUUAAAUAGAUAAAAAUGCAUUUAUUUCUAAAAUACAGCUCAACUACACUCACAGUGUGCUAAGCCAGUCUUGGAAUUGAUCCUGCAGCUUGGAGUAAAAUUGGGAUAAUGGAGGAGCAGUUGGGGCUCCUAGUUCUGGGCACCAAGACAUCAUUCCUCCAGGAACUCAAUCUAUAGAGUUUUUCUUCAGCUGUUUUUUGUGACGUACAGUGAGUUGUUUUGGAUUUCUCUGUACAACAGAGAGGUCCGACCUUGAGGAAGACCGGUAGCCCACAUCCUCUGCUUUUAUAGGCUUAAUGAUGUGCCCUGGCUUGGUGACAACUUUGGGCAUAGUCAGCUUUUGGAAGGCCCUCUGGGUGUUCCAUGUAGAUCCUAUAGGGGUCUGGAUGGUCCUUUCAAAUUGCUGAUGGUGGGUAAAUGGAUAUGGAAGCACCCGCACCUGGAAAGGAAGGCAGAGUGACUUGUCACAAGCCAGACCUGGGGUGCAGUUGGUAAACUCUAAUGGCAGGUAGUUUGGGGCACAGGCCACAGGUAUACAUGGCUUCAGUGAGUGAAGCAACUGAGAGGCCAAGGCAUCCCAAUGCGCCCAAUCUAACCUUAGAAGUCCCAAUCUGCUUGAGGACAUCUGGGAGUGGAGGGGACUAAUUGGGACUAGACAACCCCCAAGGCUUACCCAACGAUCUAGGAACUGAAAAACCACCCUGACCCCAUUCCUGUAGUGUAGGAACGCUACACUAGCUCCAGGGCUGCUGUUCCUAAGUGGGUCUUCUUAUACAAUGCUGUGACUGCAAGAAGCAUCUGGACAUUUGUGGGUCCCUGGGAAUGUUGUGGCCCUCCUACCCUCUUCAAGCUCUCAAUCUCUUCUCCUUGAUAAACAGGAUUUAUGUUUUAAGGUUUGCCAUGAAUCCUGAACUAUACCAGGCUGUGAUGCUCAGUUAGCUUCAUCCUCUUUUGGCAUCACAGAACGUCAGAGCUGGAAGGGCCUAGAUAAUGGCAAAGGUCAUCUUCCUUGGUCCCAGAAUUUGGCUUAGAGAGGGGAAGUGAUGUAUGCAAGUAAAUUGCAUAAAAUGAGCAGUGAAUGAGAACAGAACCCAGGGUUCCUUUCCUUGCCUAGUACUAUUCUCCAUUCCAAACAGUGCUACUUUAGACAUUUAAAUAAUCCUUAAACACUACCUCUGAGGGCUAGAGAAGAGGGAAAAAAACAUAAGGAGAAAAAUCAGGAAGUUACGAACAGUAGUCUCUGGAGAUAUUCAGUGAAACACUCAAGAGAAGCUGAGUACUGCCCGGGAGUCCUGAUGGUGGUGAAGGACACAGAUGGUCUCUAGGUUGAGGGAAUGUCUUAUUGGGGUAGAUGGCUAGAUCUGUGCAUGUCAUGUAAAUCAAGAGAAAAAAAAACACGGCAAAAUAUUCAGUCUUGGGAGGCUUUUCUUUUUUCCUUCAGCUUCAAGCACACUGUAUUCUAUUGCAUGCUGGGACCUGAAGUCUAUAGCUUAUUAAAAAGAUGAGGAAAAUCAGGGAGAUUCUUGGAAAACUGUCAGUUUCCUGUGACUGUAUUUUUUUUUUUUUUAAGGCAAGGCUCCUAGCAGGGAGGGGUGAUUUUACUGAGGUCCAUGCUGCCCUUCCUGGCCUGGUGAAGCAUGCUUUUUCUCUCUCAUUUAUCCCAUAAUUGCCUGUUCAUUGCCUAUUUUCUGGUUAUAGAUCUUCAAGUGGGAUUACAGUGGUUACGAUUCCAUUUCUGCAGGGAUUGGUUUGCAAAAUAAGAUCAGUAGAGUAUUGCUGAAACGAUAAUUUCUUACCUCUCUUUUGUACUUAUUAAACAGUUCCCCCUCUUUCUCAGAAGAAAAACUACAACUCAUUUCAAGAUUGUACUGGCUGGGGACAGAUCUCAGGGUCACAGACUUUCAGAAGGAAACAUAAAAGUCAUGGAGUUCAAUCUCAUUCCUGAGUCCCCUCUACACAUGUUCCCAUUCUCCCUCUGGACUGGCAGAAAGCUUUUUCCUUUUUUUUUUUUUUUUUAAAGUAGGCUCCUUGCCCAACAUGGGGCUCAAACUCACGACCCCGACAUCAAAACCUGCAUGCUCUACCGACUGAGCCAGCCAAGCGCCCCACAAAGUUUCUCCUUGAACUGAAUGCAUUGCUUUUCCUCUAACUGCUACCUUAUGUGACUGCACUCCACAUGAUGGCCUUCAACGUACUUGCAGACCAUGAUCAUGCUCAAAUUUGCUUCUCUUUGGUAAAUAUCCCUGGUUUGUCAUAACACACAAUUUUAAUUCCAUUCGCUGUCCUGAAUGAAUACCGGUUUGUCUUCUUUUUCUUAAGAUGCAGCUCAAACCUAUAGCCUCUCAACAUCAUCCUGACUAUAAAGACAAGUGUGAAGAACAGUAAUUCUUAGUUUGAUGAGACCCAAUUGCAUCAGAAUUAUCUGGGGUACUAGCUGAAAAAACUGAUUUGGGGGCCUCACCACUGCUGCAAAGAUUACCAUUUAAGCCUCAACCUCUUCCCAGUCAGAAAUUAAAACAGCAGAAAUCAAUCUGGAAUUAUUCAUCUCAGAGCCAGUCCGUGAAAAAGAGAACAGCUUUGAUUCUGUGGUCAAGAUCACACAUCGCUCUUUACCACAGAGUGCUAGAAUAUUCCUCCCAAGCAAGAGAGCGAGGCAGCAAAGAAUUUCUCUCUCCCUCACCUGAUGAGCUGCUGCAUGAACAUUUCGCUUCUCAUUGAUAAUCACAUUUGGCAAAUUCUUGUCUUUUCUUGGAGGACCCUCAGGGGUUUUAAUGAGAAACCUGGAAAGCAGAACAGUGGGAUGUCUGACUAAGAGCAUUAAAGACUUAGUCAAAAGGGCAGGGAGGACGCAGGAGGGUGAAGUGGGAGAACCUGGUGCACUUCUGACAGGCUUUCUUCCCUGUUCUUACCGGCGUCUUUUCUUGGCACUGGGCUUCAGGCCCACACCACCCCACUCGCCCCAGCCAGGCAGAGUCAGGUCCACGUCCUUUGGCUUACUCGCCUCCACAGCUUCCCUCUUCUCUUUUAAGAAGUCUCUGAUGACAUCAUCUCCAGCAAAAGCUUCCUUUAUCAUCCGCUUUUGAUCUCUCUCCUCUUCAUCUUCCUGGGAAGAAAUAAGAGUGAGAGCUACAGCUUGCCUGAAGAGCUAUGGUUCCUGGCAAGAACGUUUAAAUUUUGGGUCGUGACAUUCUAGCGCCCCCUAGGGGAAAAGCGCUGAACAAUGAUGGUCUUGCAGUAUAAGUGAAUUGGUUAGCCAAUCACACUUUGAUUUUCUUCUCUCUAGGGUAAAUCUCCCUAACUCAUUGUCAUAGACAUAAUUUUAAGCUUACAGUAAGGAAGCUGCAGCGUGGAGGAAGGAAUGACCUGCGUUAGGAGGAGGAGCUCCAAGUGGCCUGGCUAGAACGUGGGUGUCCUCCGGCUCACAUCCCCGAAAAGACGGGCACCAGGCACCAGGGCUCCUCACUGAAGCAGUUUCAAUUAGUUAACCAGGGAGUCUUGGACCAUUUCAGAUCCCAGUGAAUAAGAGCAAAACCUUGGCAAUAGCUCAACAACUAUACCUUUGAGUCAUCCUGCCUGGGAUCUGAGCAGAGCUUUGAGUGCCUCCCUCUUUCCUCUGAGGGCAGUUUUAGAGUCACCCCACGGAGGGUUUGGUGGCUCAGGAUUUAAGAUGUGGGAAUCUCAGCAGCACUCACAUAUUUGCAUCUAUUAAACUGUCACUGGGACUGGCCCGGCCCCAUAUUAUUUUGGACCUUUCCACUACUGAAAUGUGCCCCCAGCACAACACAACUUCACUGAUUCUAGUCCUUGUGCAAGGACACUUCCUGCCCCAGCGGUGAUCCCCCACAAUAGCCCAUGCCCCUGGCUCUGCUCACCAGCUCCUCUAUUGUCAUGGGCACUGCCAAAGACUUCACAGAAGGAGAUUUCGUGGUUAGGAGGUUCUGUAGAUCAAUCAUUUGCUCCUUCUUUUUCUUUUCCUUGGGAGCACCAGGAUGAUUAUUUGGGUUCCUCUCCAGCUGCUGCCCUUCUAACACAGACCUGGGAACCUCCUUAUUUUGAAAACACCGCUCUUUGCCCAGCUCUUCUAGAUCUUCCACAGUCUGUGCUCUCUCUGGCCUCUGCAGCAACAGGGGCUCCUCUUCUUCCUCAGUAGGGUCCUUUCUCUGGACUACCUGAACUGUCCUCGCUGAACUCACUUUCUGCUUCCCAGACUGGUUUUCCUUGUUGAGUUUCUGAGACAGUGCCCUCAAUUCGGACAGCACCUCCUGGCUGCUAGAAUCUGAGGGAAGAAAUGAAAGCUGUCAGAAAAGGAGGCUGGAAGUUGCCUUGUCAAUGAGCAUUUACUGAGCACACU
RNAcentral lists this long non-coding RNA (6804 nucleotides) under Lynx pardinus (Iberian lynx). Lineage: Eukaryota; Metazoa; Chordata; Mammalia; Carnivora; Felidae. The record is from RNAcentral.